UUUCCGUAGGUGAACCAGCGGAAGGAUCAUUAUUGUAUAACCGGGGAGCGAGGGUUUUCGCUUACCCAACCGGUCCAGCACGGUCGAGUGCGCUGGCACACAUCCAUCCCACCCCUAUGUGCACCACGGCGGCGGUCGCUCUUAGACUUGUCUGGAGGGCGGUGUCCGCUUUCACUCAACCUAAAUAUGCAGUAAAAAAUGUAUUUACUGUUUUUUCGAUCACGGAAUCAAUACAACAUGCAACAACGGGUAUCUUGGCUCUCGCAUCGAUGAAGAACA
This 279-nucleotide unclassified non-coding RNA is filed under the name plant metagenome. RNAcentral describes it as "partial contains small subunit ribosomal RNA, internal transcribed spacer 1, and 5.8S ribosomal RNA". The record is from RNAcentral.